Molecule: ribosomal RNA, 520 nt
Filed under: uncultured Glomus
Lineage: Eukaryota; Fungi; Glomeromycota; Glomeromycetes; Glomerales; Glomeraceae
Description: SSU rRNA
Rfam family: Eukaryotic small subunit ribosomal RNA
Source: RNAcentral
CGCAGCCGCGGUAAUUCCAGCUCCAAUAGCGUAUAUUAAAGUUGUUGCAGUUAAAAAGCUCGUAGUUGAAUUUCGGGAUCAAUAUGUCGGUCGUGCCUUCGGUACGUACUGGUAUCAUUGGUCUCUCCUUUCUGACGAACCAUGAUGUCAUUAAUUUGGUGUUAUGGGGAGUUAGGACUGUUACUUUGAAAAAAUUAGAGUGUUUAAAGCAGGCUUUAGCUUGAAUACAUUAGCAUGGAAUAAUGAAAUAGGACGUUCGAACCUAUUUUGUUGGUUUCUAGGAUCAACGUAAUGAUUAAUAGGGAUAGUUGGGGGCAUUAGUAUUCAAUUGUCAGAGGUGAAAUUCUUGGAUUUAUUGAAGACUAACUACUGCGAAAGCAUUUGCCAAGGAUGUUUUCAUUAAUCAAGAACGAAAGUUAGGGGAUCGAAGACGAUCAGAUACCGUCGUAGUCUUAACCAUAAACUAUGCCGACUAGGGAUCGGAUGAUGUUAAUUUUUUAAUGACUCAUUCGGCGCCUUA